Molecule: ribosomal RNA, 903 nt
Filed under: Bayerotrochus charlestonensis
Lineage: Eukaryota; Metazoa; Mollusca; Gastropoda; Pleurotomariida; Pleurotomariidae
Description: 12S ribosomal RNA
Source: RNAcentral
CUCAACUAAGAACACCUUCCGGUACCCUUACUAUGUUACGACUUAUCUCAUUUCUCAACGAGAGCGACGGGCGAUGUGUGCACGUCUUAGAGCUAAAUUCAAUAAAUCUUUCUAAUAUAAUAUUUACUUUUAAGUCCACCUUCAUUCCCCUGUUUUCAAAGAAAAUUCCGUAUAAAAAUUAAUUUAUUGUAAUUCAUUUCUACUUUUUCAUUAGCUGCACCUUGAUCUGACGUAAAGGAUAAUAACCGCAAGGCAAAAAAUCCUACUAGCUAACUCCAAGAUUUUCAAAAAGUAACCUGACGACGACGGUAUACAGACUGUCUUUACAAAAAAAAGUAAGGUAACCCGCGGAUUAUCGAUCACAGAACAAAUUCCCCUAAAAAGAUUUAAGACACCGCCAAGUUCUUUGAGUUUUAAGCAUGAGCUCGUACUACCCGGGUAAGCAUACACUAAUAUUUACAUUUUCGAAUAACGGGGUAUCUAAUCCCGGUUUCUACCGAAAACUUCGUGGCCUCAAAGUCAUAGGCUUAAAUAAAAUUAAGUAAUUUAUUCAGAUUCUACCCACAAAAACAACUCUCCUAAGCCUUCCCGACUAAAACUUCCUAACCACAUUUUUACCGAAAUCAUUAACAAGGCCCACCUGUAUAACCGCGGUAGCUGGCACAGGUUUUACCGGACCUCUUGACAAUCACUAAAUCGAGCUCUCGCCCAUCUACUUUAAUCUUCAAUACUGGUGUAAUCAAGUGAAAUACUCUAGACGUCAUACAAAAAUUUAUGCCAAACUAAACAAGUAAAUAAAAUAUUAAAUUCUUCAUACCUCUUAUAGUUUACUACUCACUAACCCCCUAAAGAACCAUGUAUUUUUUGUAAUCAAAGCUAAAGUAAGAGCCAGAACCAAACUCC